ACUCAAAGGAAUUGACGGGGGCCCGCACAAGCGGUGGAGGAUGUGGUUUAAUUCGACGCAACGCGAAGAACCUUACCAAGGCUUGACAUCUACCGAAUCUGUUAGAAAUAGCGGAGUGCCCGAAAGGGAACGGUAAGACAGGUGGUGCAUGGCUGUCGUCAGCUCGUGUCGUGAGAUGUUGGGUUAAGUCCCGCAACGAGCGCAACCCUCGAUGCUAGUUACCAUCAUUAAGUUGGGGACUCUAGCGUGACUGCCGGUGAUAAGCCGGAGGAAGGUGAGGACGACGUCAAGUCAUCAUGCCCCUUACGUCUUGGGCUACACACGUCCUACAAUGGCAUAGACAAAGGGCUGCAAGCUAGCGAUAGUGAGCGAAUCCCAUAAACUAUGUCUCAGUUCGGAUUGCAGGCUGCAACUCGCCUGCAUGAAGUUGGAAUCGCUAGUAACCGUAGAUCAGCACGCUACGGUGAAUACGUUCCCGGGCCUUGUACACACCGCCCGU
RNAcentral lists this ribosomal RNA (499 nucleotides) under uncultured bacterium. RNAcentral describes it as "partial 16S ribosomal RNA". It matches the Rfam family "Bacterial small subunit ribosomal RNA", at positions 899 to 1397 of the family's 1533-position model. The record is from RNAcentral.